AAAAAGACAAACCUUGGAUUUCCGUGUCCAACUUUGAUUGUCCGUCUUAUAUGAAAUUUUUUUAUAAUUCAUAUUUUUAUUAUUGUUAGAUGAUAAAACAUGAUUAAUACUUUGUGCGUGACUUGUCUUUUUAAUUUUUUUCAUAUUUUUUUCAAAUAAGACGGACGGUCAAACGUUGGGCACGGAAACCAGGGUUUGUCUUUUU
Molecule: microRNA precursor, 205 nt
Organism: Oryza sativa Japonica Group (Japanese rice)
Lineage: Eukaryota; Viridiplantae; Streptophyta; Magnoliopsida; Poales; Poaceae
Rfam family: MIR812 microRNA precursor family
Source: Rfam